Molecule: non-coding RNA, 71 nt
Organism: Megalops atlanticus (tarpon)
Lineage: Eukaryota; Metazoa; Chordata; Actinopteri; Elopiformes; Megalopidae
Source: the annotation of a GenBank genome assembly
GGUAGUGUAGCACAGUGGUAAGGAGCAGGGCUUGUAACCAAAAGGUUGCUGGUUCAAUUCCACCACCAUUG